AACGAGGCCGACCUGCGGCUGAGUUACCUGCGGAGGGAUCAUUAUAGAGUUUUCUAAACUCCCAAACCCAUGUGAACUUACCAUUGUUGCCUCGGCAGAACCUACCCGGUACCUACCCUGGAACGAGCUACCCUGUAGCUACCCAGGAACGGGCUACCCUGUAACGUCCUGCCGGUGGACUUCUAAACUCUUGUUAUUUAUAGUAAUCUGAGCGUCUUAUUUUAAUAAGUCAAAACUUUU
Molecule: unclassified non-coding RNA, 240 nt
Filed under: soil metagenome
Description: partial contains 5.8S ribosomal RNA, internal transcribed spacer 2, and large subunit ribosomal RNA
Source: RNAcentral